CCUACGGGAGGCAGCAGUGGGGAAUCUUGGGCAAUGGACGAAACUCUGACCCAGCAACGCCGCGUGAAUGAUGAAGGUCUUCGGGUUUGAAAGGUUUUUUUUAAGGGAAGAAGAAAGUGACGCUACCUUAUUAAUAAGCCUCGGUUAACUACGUGCCAGCAGCCGCUGUAAUAAGUAGGAGGCGAGCGUUAUCCGGAAUGAAUGGGCGUAAAGGGUGCGUAGGUGGGUUGGCAAGUUAGGAGCGUAGAUCCCGGGCUCAACCUUGGAACUACAACUGAAACUGUUGGACUUGAGUGCAGGAGGGGAAAGUGGAAUUCCUAGUGUAGCGGUGGAAUGCGUAGAUAUUAGGAGGAACACCAGUGGCGAAGGCGGGUUGCUGGACUGUAACUGACGCUGAGGCACGAAAGCGUGGGGAGCGAACAGGAUUAGAUACCCUAGUAGUC
RNAcentral lists this ribosomal RNA (443 nucleotides) under uncultured bacterium. RNAcentral's name for it is "partial 16S ribosomal RNA". It matches the Rfam family "Bacterial small subunit ribosomal RNA", at positions 338 to 795 of the family's 1533-position model. The record is from RNAcentral.